This 492-nucleotide ribosomal RNA is filed under the name uncultured bacterium. RNAcentral describes it as "partial 16S ribosomal RNA". It matches the Rfam family "Bacterial small subunit ribosomal RNA", at positions 29 to 507 of the family's 1533-position model. The record is from RNAcentral.
AGUGAACGCUGGCGGUAGGCCUAACACAUGCCAGUCGAACGGCAGCACAGUAAGAGCUUGCUCUUACGGGUGGCGAGUGGCGGACGGGUGAGGAAUACAUCGGAAUCUACUUUUUCGUGGGGGAUAACGUAGGGAAACUUACGCUAAUACCGCAUACGACCUACGGGUGAAAGCAGGGGAUCUUCGGACCUUGCGCGAUUGAAUGAGCCGAUGUCGGAUUAGCUAGUUGGCGGGGUAAAGGCCCACCAAGGCGACGAUCCGUAGCUGGUCUGAGAGGAUGAUCAGCCACACUGGAACUGAGACACGGUCCAGACUCCUACGGGAGGCAGCAGUGGGGAAUAGUGGACAAUGGGCGCAAGCCUGAUCCAGCCAUACCGCGUGGGUGAAGAAGGCCUUCGGGUUGUAAAGCCCUUUUGUUGGGAAAGAAAAGCAGCAGGUUAAUACCCAGCUGUUCUGACGGUACCCAAAGAAUAAGCACCGGCUAACUUCGUG